RNAcentral lists this ribosomal RNA (176 nucleotides) under Cladosporium perangustum. RNAcentral describes it as "partial 18S ribosomal RNA". It matches the Rfam family "Eukaryotic small subunit ribosomal RNA", at positions 1658 to 1831 of the family's 1831-position model. RNAcentral also lists the same sequence under 1 other name. The record is from RNAcentral. Lineage: Eukaryota; Fungi; Ascomycota; Dothideomycetes; Cladosporiales; Cladosporiaceae.
CUUUGUACACACCGCCCGUCGCUACUACCGAUUGAAUGGCUCGGUGAGGCCUUCGGACUGGCCCAGGGAGGUCGGCAACGACCACCCAGGGCCGGAAAGUUGGUCAAACCCGGUCAUUUAGAGGAAGUAAAAGUCGUAACAAGGUCUCCGUAGGUGAACCUGCGGAGGGAUCAUUA